AUGCACCGGUGACUCAUGAGCACAAGGACUGGCUUUUCACACCACGUUCUGAGAAGUGCCUCCCUCACACCUUAUUAGGAUGUUGGUAUAGCACCCAUUUCAUG
Molecule: small nucleolar RNA, 104 nt
Organism: Microtus oregoni (creeping vole)
Lineage: Eukaryota; Metazoa; Chordata; Mammalia; Rodentia; Cricetidae
Product: small nucleolar RNA U13
Exons: 1
Source: RefSeq, a predicted model, not a curated record